Molecule: ribosomal RNA, 590 nt
Filed under: uncultured beta proteobacterium
Lineage: Bacteria; Pseudomonadati; Pseudomonadota; Betaproteobacteria
Description: bacterial SSU rRNA
Rfam family: Bacterial small subunit ribosomal RNA
Source: RNAcentral
UACGGGAGGCAGCAGUGGGGAAUUUUGGACAAUGGGGGCAACCCUGAUCCAGCCAUUCCGCGUGAGUGAAGAAGGCCUUCGGGUUGUAAAGCUCUUUUGUCCGGAACGAAACGGUUACGGUGAAUACCCGUGACUACUGACGGUACCGGGAGAAUAAGCACCGGCUAACUACGUGCCAGCAGCCGCGGUAAUACGUAGGGUGCGAGCGUUAAUCGGAAUUACUGGGCGUAAAGCGUGCGCAGGCGGUUUUGUAAGCCAGAUGUGAAAGCCCCGGGCUCAACCUGGGAAUGGCAUUUGGGGCUGCAAGGCUUGAGUGCGGCAGAGGAGACUGGAAUUCCUGGUGUAGCAGUGAAAUGCGUAGAUAUCAGGAGGAAUACCGAUGGCGAAGGCAGGUCUCUGGGCUGACACUGACGCUCAUGCACGAAAGCGUGGGGAGCAAACAGGAUUAGAUACCCUGGUGGUCCACGCCCUAAACGAUGUCGACUGGUUGUUGGGGGUUUGACACUCUCAGUAACGAAGCUAACGCGUGAAGUCGACCGCCUGGGGAGUACGGCCGCAAGGUUAAAACUCAAAGGAAUUGACGGAAGGGC